Molecule: long non-coding RNA, 982 nt
Filed under: Mus musculus (house mouse)
Lineage: Eukaryota; Metazoa; Chordata; Mammalia; Rodentia; Muridae
Description: RIKEN cDNA 6530409C15 gene, transcript variant 2 (6530409C15Rik)
Source: RNAcentral
GACCUGCCGAGGGCGCGCGCCGCGUGCUGGCGCUCCCUGGCGGCGCCGCGGAGCUUGGCGCGGCAGCUGGAGGCGGCCUGGCGCGUGGUGACGGCGCCCGCGGGCGGACGCAGGAUGGCGGCGCUGCGGGGCGACGGCUUCGCCAGGCUUCGGCCCGCACGGGCGCAGCGAACCCCAGGGAAGAAAGACAAAGACACGCCGGUUAGCAACGGGCGGGAACCGCGCAGCCCGGGGCCGAGGCGCCGCGUCCCCACCCCGCACCCUUCAGGGCAUGUGAAGGCUGGAUGCCGGCUUAGGAGUUGCUUCUCUCCUGCCACCACUGGGUUCCAAAGAUUGAACUCAGGUUGUCAGGCUUGGUACCAAGCACCUCUAUCCACUGAGCCAUCUUGCCAGGCCUGGUUUCAAUUUAAUAUUUUGGAAUGUACAUUGUGUCUUAGGGGCCUUUCUCAGACAGUAACAGCAAACAUAAAUAACAUAAGGUUCCCAUCUCUGAGAAGGAGCAUCUAGAAAAUUACUUUCCUAUUAUUAGGAUGAGUCAGAGCCCAAGGCUCACCUGACUCCCUGUCACUGUACACAGGCCAAGGCUUUGCUUUUCAGUCUUCAAAGGAGCCUUCUCAUUUCCUGUCAUUCCUCUGCUCAGAUACAUAAAAGCAUCCCACUGUCCCCACACUAGAUGAAUAAAUAGUUGUUAACCUUUGAGGAGAGCCAAAGACGAGUCUGAGGUUCUGCCUAAAGAUAUGGUCACCUUCCAGAAGCUUGUACAGACCACACUAGAAACUGACUUCCUGAACGUUUAUAAACGUGUAAGACCAUACAGUGGCUUCCCCUGCAUUGCUCCUUUUCAAAAGUGGAAAACUGAUGCUGCCUGGGGCAGGGGCUGGGGAGAGCCUGGAAUGGAGUAAGUUUCAACUGCUUAGAAGUAACUCUUGAUGAUACUUGAUUAACUUAUUAAAUCUGUGAUCUGACCUUUAUCACAGCAAAA